This 253-nucleotide ribosomal RNA is filed under the name uncultured bacterium. RNAcentral's name for it is "partial 16S ribosomal RNA". It matches the Rfam family "Bacterial small subunit ribosomal RNA", at positions 524 to 776 of the family's 1533-position model. The record is from RNAcentral.
UACAGUGGGGGCAAGCGUUGUUCGGAAUUACUGGGCGUAAAGGGUUCGUAGGUGGCCAACUAAGUCAGACGUGAAAUCCCUCAGCUUAACUGGGGAACUGCGUCUGAUACUGGAUGGCUUGAGUGCAGGAGAGGAAUGCGGAAUUCCAGGUGUAGCGGUGAAAUGCGUAGAUAUCUGGAGGAACACCGGUGGCGAAGGCGGCAUUCUGGACUGCAACUGACACUGAGGAACGAAAGCCAGGGGAGCAAACGGG